RNAcentral lists this ribosomal RNA (271 nucleotides) under uncultured bacterium. RNAcentral's name for it is "partial 16S ribosomal RNA". It matches the Rfam family "Bacterial small subunit ribosomal RNA", at positions 524 to 794 of the family's 1533-position model. The record is from RNAcentral.
UACGAAGGGGGCUAGCGUUGUUCGGAAUUACUGGGCGUAAAGCGCACGUAGGCGGAUAUUUAAGUCAGGGGUGAAAUCCCAGAGCUCAACUCUGGAACUGCCUUUGAUACUGGGUAUCUUGAGUAUGGAAGAGGUAAGUGGAAUUCCGAGUGUAGAGGUGAAAUUCGUAGAUAUUCGGAGGAACACCAGUGGCGAAGGCGGCUUCUUGGUCUGUAACUGACACUGAGGCGCGAAAGCGUGGGGAGCAAACAGGAUUAGAUACCCUUGUAGU